This 468-nucleotide ribosomal RNA is filed under the name uncultured bacterium. RNAcentral's name for it is "partial 16S ribosomal RNA". It matches the Rfam family "Bacterial small subunit ribosomal RNA", at positions 28 to 507 of the family's 1533-position model. The record is from RNAcentral.
GACGAACGCUGGCGGCGUGCUUAACACAUGCAAGUCGAACGGAAAGGCCCUGCUUUUGUGGGGUGCUCGAGUGGCGAACGGGUGAGUAACACGUGAGUAACCUGCCCUUGACUUUGGGAUAACUUCAGGAAACUGGGGCUAAUACCGGAUAGGAGCUCCUGCUGCAUGGUGGGGGUUGGAAAGUUUCGGCGGUUGGGGAUGGACUCGCGGCUUAUCAGCUUGUUUGUGGGGUAGUGGCUUACCAAGGCUUUGACGGGUAGCCGGCCUGAGAGGGUUACCGGCGACAUGGGGACUGAGAGACGGCCCAGAAUCCUACGGGAGGCAGCAGUGGGGAAUAUUGCACAAUGGGCGGAAGCCUGAUGCAGCAACGCCGCGUGCGGGAUGACGGCCUUCGGGUGGUAAACCGCUUUCGCCUGUGACGAAGCGUGAGUGACGGUAAUGGGUAAAGAAGCACCGGCUAACUACGUG